AGAUUGAACGCUGGCGGCAGGCCUAACACAUGCAAGUCGAGCGGCAGCACGGGUACUUGUACCUGGUGGCGAGCGGCGGACGGGUGAGUAAUGCCUAGGAAUCUGCCUGAUAGUGGGGGAUAACGCUCGGAAACGGACGCUAAUACCGCAUACGUCCUACGGGAGAAAGCAGGGGACCUUCGGGCCUUGCGCUAUCAGAUGAGCCUAGGUCGGAUUAGCUAGUUGGUGGGUAAUGGCUCACCAAGGCGACGAUCCGUAACUGGUCUGAGAGGAUGAUCAGUCACACUGGAACUGAGACACGGUCCGGACUCCUACGGGAGCAGCAAGUGGGAAUGUUGGACAAGU
This 345-nucleotide ribosomal RNA is filed under the name uncultured soil bacterium. Its description in RNAcentral is "bacterial SSU rRNA". It matches the Rfam family "Bacterial small subunit ribosomal RNA", at positions 26 to 373 of the family's 1533-position model. The record is from RNAcentral.